GGGUCGGUGGCGUAGUUGGUUAUCGCAUCUGUCUAACAAUAAACAUUUUGUGGGUCACAGAAGGUCCUCAGUUCGAACCUGGGCCGAUUCA
This is a non-coding RNA of Abortiporus biennis, 91 nucleotides long. Lineage: Eukaryota; Fungi; Basidiomycota; Agaricomycetes; Polyporales; Podoscyphaceae. The record is from the annotation of a GenBank genome assembly.